Molecule: ribosomal RNA, 386 nt
Filed under: uncultured bacterium
Lineage: Bacteria
Description: bacterial SSU rRNA
Rfam family: Bacterial small subunit ribosomal RNA
Source: RNAcentral
AUUGAACGCUGGCGGAAUGCUUUACACAUGCAAGUCGAGCGGCAGCGCGGGGCAACCUGGCGGCGAGCGGCGAACGGGUGAGUAAUGCAUCGGAACAUGUCCAUGUCGUGGGGGAUAGCCCGGCGAAAGCCGGAUUAAUACCGCAUAAGCCCGAGAGGGGAAAGCCGGGGACCGCAAGGCCUGGCGCGAUUGGGUUGGCCGAUGUCCGAUUAGCUAGUUGGCGGGCUAAGAGCCCACCAAGGCGAUGAUCGGUAGCCGGUCUGAGAGGAUGAUCAGCCACACUGGGACUGAGACACGGCCCAGACUCCUACGGGAGGCAGCAGUGGGGAAUUUUGGACAAUGGGGGAAACCCUGAUCCAGCCAUUCCGCGUGAGUGAAGAAGGCCU